Molecule: ribosomal RNA, 253 nt
Filed under: uncultured bacterium
Lineage: Bacteria
Description: partial 16S ribosomal RNA
Rfam family: Bacterial small subunit ribosomal RNA
Source: RNAcentral
UACGUAGGGCGCAAGCGUUGUCCGGAAUUAUUGGGCGUAAAGAGCUCGUAGGCGGCUUGUCACGUCGGGUGUGAAAGCCCGGGGCUUAACCCCGGGUCUGCAUUCGAUACGGGCAGGCUAGAGUGUGGUAGGGGAGAUCGGAAUUCCUGGUGUAGCGGUGAAAUGCGCAGAUAUCAGGAGGAACACCGAUGGCGAAGGCAGGUCUCUGGGCCGAUACUGACGCUGAGGAGCGAAAGCGUGGGGAGCGAACAGG